Molecule: non-coding RNA, 97 nt
Organism: Paramuricea clavata
Lineage: Eukaryota; Metazoa; Cnidaria; Anthozoa; Malacalcyonacea; Plexauridae
Source: the annotation of a GenBank genome assembly
CUAAGUUGAUCGUGUUUAUGACGUCGAAUAUCGACGUCAUAAACACCAAAGUUGAUCGUGUUUAUGACGUCGAAUAUCGACGUCAUAAACACCAAAG